AGUGAACGCUGGCGGUAGGCCUAACACAUGCAAGUCGAACGGCAGCACAGUAAGAGCUUGCUCUUACGGGUGGCGAGUGGCGGACGGGUGAGGAAUACAUCAGAAUCUACUUUUUCGUGGGGGAUAACGUAGGGAAACUUUCGCUAAUACCGCAUACGACCUACGGGUGAAAGCAGGGGAUCUUCGGACCUUGCGCGAUUGAAUGAGCCGAUGUCGGAUUAGCUAGUUGGCGGGGUAAAGGCCCACCAAGGCGACGAUCCGUAGCUGGUCUGAGAGGAUGAUCAGCCACACUGGAACUGAGACACGGUCCAGACUCCUACGGGAGGCAGCAGUGGGGAAUAUUGGACAAUGGGCGCAAGCCUGAUCCAGCCAUACCGCGUGGGUGAAGAAGGCCUUCGGGUUGUAAAGCCCUUUUGUUGGGAAAGAAAAGCAGCAGGUUAAUACCCCGCUGUUCUGACGGUACCCAAAGAAUAAGCACCGGCUAACUUCGUG
RNAcentral lists this ribosomal RNA (492 nucleotides) under uncultured bacterium. Its description in RNAcentral is "partial 16S ribosomal RNA". It matches the Rfam family "Bacterial small subunit ribosomal RNA", at positions 29 to 507 of the family's 1533-position model. The record is from RNAcentral.